Molecule: non-coding RNA, 135 nt
Organism: Triticum aestivum (bread wheat)
Lineage: Eukaryota; Viridiplantae; Streptophyta; Magnoliopsida; Poales; Poaceae
Source: Rfam
UUUGUACUCCCUCCGUGCCCAAAUUCUUGUCUUAAAUUUUUCUAAAUACGGAUGUAUCUAGUUACAUUUUAGUGUUAGAUACAUCCAUAUCUAAACAAAUGUAAGACAAGAAUUUUGGGACGGAGGGAAUACCAC